Marmota monax (woodchuck) is the source of this 1946-nucleotide long non-coding RNA. RefSeq lists it as uncharacterized. Lineage: Eukaryota; Metazoa; Chordata; Mammalia; Rodentia; Sciuridae. The record is from RefSeq and is a predicted model, not a curated record. The transcript has 3 exons.
UAGGCGCUUAUUGUUGGUCGGACGCCGAGGGUCCGGGUCGCAGCCCCCGGGCGGAGCGGCGCCGGGGGACCCAGGCGUGCGGGCGUCCGGCCGGCUGGCUCCGGGCGGCGGCGGUGGUGCAGCGGCCCCGAGUCCGGGGCAUGUCCGGCCACUGGCUCCGCCGCGCGCCGCCGCCUCCCCGGGCUCCCUUGCACUGCCGGAGCCUCGCUCGCCCCUCCACUCGGCUCCUCUCCCCAGCCUGAAUAAGCAUCGGGGCUCUCUGGCUGCCUCCUUCUGCCUUCAUACCAGAGCCCGGAGAGGCCCCUGUCAAAAUAAGAGCUCCCCCAUCUCGCUGGUCUCCUCGCCCAACCCGGCUCCCCCAGCCUCCCAGUGGUCUGACUCGUACACCAUGAGGACAUAGACUGAAUUUUCAUCUCAAGUCUCAGCAGGGGUGUAAAGUGGAUGUGUUCAUCAUGAACUUGCAAGAAAGAUAUUUUGACCCCAUUACACAGAUGAGGAAACUGAGACUUGCAUUAUAUAAGGAUUUACUCAGAAUUACACAACUAGACCAUGGUAAGCCCAGGACUAGAAGUUGGAUUUCUUUAUCCCUGGAUACCUUCCCCACCCACCCAGAAUUAAUACCAACAAUUGAUAAGCAUUGACUAUUUCAGAAGGAAAUGAAACUAACAACUCUAUUUGCUCCUUUCUGUUCCCAUUGUCCUCUCUCUCCAGAAAACUCUAGUGACCUCCCUCUCUUCUGACCACCUAUUAUUUGUGCACCACCCAUCUGAAUGCUUACUUGUAUUUUCCUUGUUUCUCCUGUGUGUAUGUCUGGUUGGUUCCAAAAGAUUCUUAAGGGCUCAGACUAUGCCUUCUAUCCUCUGUGUUCACCCAAGGUUGGCUCAAGUCCUGGGUAGGUUCAUAGUAGAACUUCAGUAAAUCUUGACUUGAUGGAUUGAUGGUGCCAGAAACUAGGUACUGAGCAAGGUCUGGGGAGGCUCAAAUGUGUGUGUAGUAGGGGGAUGAAGAUACCCUGACAAACAGAUGAUAACAUAACCUUUCCUGUGUGCCUAACACAAUCACAGUUUACAAAGCACUUUCAUGAACAUUAUCUCAGGAUCAUGCUUUAAUCCAAUCAACAGAACUUUCCCAAGUGCCUACUAAGAACUGUGCUAGGAUAGGGGUUGAAUCGUCAUAAUUCUGAGUUAAGUCUUAUCUUCAUUUAAAGGUGAUGAAACUGAAGCCCAGAGUGACUAUCCCAGCACCUAGGAUAGUACCUGGCUCUGGAAUUAGGGUUUAAUUUCUUUUCUUUUCUCCAGGAUCCCCAGGGGAUAGACUGGAUCUCAAAGCAGAGGGCCGGUCCUAAAACAUAAUAGUUUUUAGGAGGGUCCACUCCAUUUACUUGGGUCAGUAUCACGUAUAUGACAAGCCACAUGGGCCUUUUCAGAUCCUUUUGGCACAAGUUCAAUUCAUAGUAGGUCCAGAAAACAAUGUUUGUAGGGAUGAGGGUGGACUCGUUGCAAGGGGUCUCAAAUGUGGUACACAGUCAAGUUCAAGAGUGUUCGGUAUGUUCUGUGGAGCAGCCAUGUGGAGCUGAGCGCUCCCCAGGGUGGGGCUGUGACUCAUUCCCCCAGCGUAGGUUCCAGGUCGAGAUGCCGAGCAGAGCUCUGGGCAGCCACGAGUUCUGGGUGGAACCCUGGAGCGAAAAAGGAGGCGAGAGGCCCAUUGCUGGAAUCGAGCAGCUCCCUCUACUGGAGAACUCGGGGAACCACUGUGUUUCCGUAUAUCUGUGUGUCACUGUGUCACGAGGGAUGUCACAGGUGUGUCAGCGAGAGUCGGUGUGGGCAUUUGUGGGUGGACGUGCCGGCACGGGUAAGGGUGUGUGAGGUUGCCUGUUCGUGGCUCACUGUGGCUGUGCCAGCGCCAUUAGGGGCUUUUUCUGGAAACACAGUGUGUACCCACAACCA